Molecule: transfer RNA, 85 nt
Filed under: Felis catus (domestic cat)
Lineage: Eukaryota; Metazoa; Chordata; Mammalia; Carnivora; Felidae
Rfam family: tRNA
About the family: Transfer RNA (tRNA) molecules are approximately 80 nucleotides in length. Their secondary structure includes four short double-helical elements and three loops (D, anti-codon, and T loops).
Source: Rfam by way of RNAcentral
ACCUGGGUGGCUCAGUCGGUUAAGCAUCUGACUUUGGCUCAGGUCAUGACCUCACGGUUCGUGAGUUCAAGCCCCACAUCAGGCU